UGGGGAAUUUUGGACAAUGGGGGAAACCCUGAUCCAGCCAUCCCGCGUGUGCGAUGAAGGCCUUCGGGUUGUAAAGCACUUUUGGCAGGAAAGAAACGUCGCGGGUUAAUACCCCGCGAAACUGACGGUACCUGCAGAAUAAGCACCGGCUAACUACGUGCCAGCAGCCGCGGUAAUACGUAGGGUGCAAGCGUUAAUCGGAAUUACUGGGCGUAAAGCGUGCGCAGGCGGUUCGGAAAGAAAGAUGUGAAAUCCCAGAGCUUAACUUUGGAACUGCAUUUUUAACUACCGGGCUAGAGUGUGUCAGAGGGAGGUGGAAGUUCCGCGUGUAGCAGUGAAAUGCGUAGAUAUGCGGAGGAACACCGGAUGGCGAAGGCAGGCCUCCUGGGAUAACACUGACGCUCAUGCACGAAAGCGUGGGGAGCAAACAGGAUUAGAUACCCUGGUAGUCCACGCCCUAAACGAUGUCAACUAGCUGUUGGGGCCUUUGCGAGCCUUGGUAGCGCAGCUAACGCG
RNAcentral lists this ribosomal RNA (516 nucleotides) under uncultured bacterium. RNAcentral's name for it is "partial 16S ribosomal RNA". It matches the Rfam family "Bacterial small subunit ribosomal RNA", at positions 355 to 859 of the family's 1533-position model. The record is from RNAcentral.